RNAcentral lists this ribosomal RNA (670 nucleotides) under uncultured Roseovarius sp. Its description in RNAcentral is "bacterial SSU rRNA". It matches the Rfam family "Bacterial small subunit ribosomal RNA", at positions 95 to 797 of the family's 1533-position model. Lineage: Bacteria; Pseudomonadati; Pseudomonadota; Alphaproteobacteria; Rhodobacterales; Roseobacteraceae. The record is from RNAcentral.
GCGGCGGACGGGUUAGUAACGCGUGGGAACGUACCCAGAUCUAAGGAAUAGCCACUGGAAACGGUGAGUAAUACCUUAUACGCCCUUCGGGGGAAAGAUUUAUCGGAUUUGGAUCGGCCCGCGUUAGAUUAGGUAGUUGGUGGGGUAAUGGCCUACCAAGCCUACGAUCUAUAGCUGGUUUUAGAGGAUGAUCAGCAACACUGGGACUGAGACACGGCCCAGACUCCUACGGGAGGCAGCAGUGGGGAAUCUUAGACAAUGGGCGCAAGCCUGAUCUAGCCAUGCCGCGUGAGUGAUGAAGGCCUUAGGGUCGUAAAGCUCUUUCGCCUGUGAUGAUAAUGACAGUAGCAGGUAAAGAAGCACCGGCUAACUCCGUGCCAGCAGCCGCGGUAAUACGGAGGGGGUUAGCGUUGUUCGGAAUUACUGGGCGUAAAGCGCACGUAGGCGGAUUAGAAAGUUAGGGGUGAAAUCCCGGGGCUCAACCUCGGAACUGCCUCUAAAACUCCUAGUCUAGAGUUCGAGAGAGGUGAGUGGAAUUCCAAGUGUAGAGGUGAAAUUCGUAGAUAUUUGGAGGAACACCAGUGGCGAAGGCGGCUCACUGGCUCGAUACUGACGCUGAGGUGCGAAAGUGUGGGGAGCAAACAGGAUUAGAUACCCUGGUAGAAGGGCG